Long non-coding RNA from Physella acuta, 536 nucleotides. RefSeq lists it as uncharacterized. Lineage: Eukaryota; Metazoa; Mollusca; Gastropoda; Physidae. The record is from RefSeq and is a predicted model, not a curated record.
UGCGUUUACACUAUACGUCGGCAGACCGAAUUUUUUCAUCUGACGUCAGGUGUUGUCCAAUCUGCCGAAGAGGGGUGCGCCCCAGCGGUUACACUGUAGCCCGUCAGAACGUAUGUCUGACCACCGGCAGGCAUUGGUUUCAAUACAAAAAAUCGACGAACAAAUGCAGAUUCAUUUUUUGGCAGAAAACAAUGAUGCUUCCAAAAUUAUAUUGCUUAAUGAAAAGGAAAGAGAAAAUCAUAUAGGAAAUGCAUUUCUCCAAAGAAACGCUUGGCUUUGACAUUGAGAUAGGCCCCUCAUUACAACUGGAUUGGCUCCUCACUACAACUGGAUUGGCCUACUAAUAUUGAAUUGUCCAUUCACCUAUCACCACAAUUAUCUAUGAGACGUGAUAUUAUGUGGAGAUGCCUCACUAAAAAGCAUGUACCAUUACCAACAGCAGCAAUGUGCCAAGGCCUCUGAAGACUGAAGACACCAUCUGAAGUAUUAUGGAGCAUGUUGAAUUUGAUAUUUAAUUGAAAUAAACUUCUUUUUGU